Molecule: ribosomal RNA, 547 nt
Filed under: Rhodotorula mucilaginosa
Lineage: Eukaryota; Fungi; Basidiomycota; Microbotryomycetes; Sporidiobolales; Sporidiobolaceae
Description: LSU rRNA
Rfam family: Eukaryotic large subunit ribosomal RNA
Source: RNAcentral
GGGAAGAGCUCAAAUUUAUAAUCUGGCACCUUCGGUGUCCGAGUUGUAAUCUCUAGAAAUGUUUUCCGCGUUGGACCGCACACAAGUCUGUUGGAAUACAGCGGCAUAGUGGUGAGACCCCCGUAUAUGGUGCGGACGCCCAGCGCUUUGUGAUACAUUUUCGAAGAGUCGAGUUGUUUGGGAAUGCAGCUCAAAUUGGGUGGUAAAUUCCAUCUAAAGCUAAAUAUUGGCGAGAGACCGAUAGCGAACAAGUACCGUGAGGGAAAGAUGAAAAGCACUUUGGAAAGAGAGUUAACAGUACGUGAAAUUGUUGGAAGGGAAACGCUUGAAGUCAGACUUGCUUGCCGAGCAAUCGGUUUGCAGGCCAGCAUCAGUUUUCCGGGAUGGAUAAUGGUAGAGAGAAGGUAGCAGUUUCGGCUGUGUUAUAGCUCUCUGCUGGAUACAUCUUGGGGGACUGAGGAACGCAGUGUGCCUUUGGCGGGGGUUUCGACCUCUUCACACUUAGGAUGCUGGUGGAAUGGCUAAAAAACGACCCGUCUUGAAACCA